This 301-nucleotide ribosomal RNA is filed under the name uncultured bacterium. RNAcentral describes it as "partial 16S ribosomal RNA". It matches the Rfam family "Bacterial small subunit ribosomal RNA", at positions 509 to 809 of the family's 1533-position model. The record is from RNAcentral.
CAGCCGCCACGGGAAUACGAAGGGUGCAAGCGUUACUCGGAAUUACUGGGCGUAAAGCGUGCGUAGGUGGUGGUUUAAGUCCGUUGUGAAAGCCCUGGGCUACCUGGGAAUUGCAGUGGAUACUGGGUCACUAGAGUGUGGUAGAGGAUAGUGGAAUUUCCGGUGUAGCAGUGAAAUGCGUAGAGAUCGGAAGGAACAUCUGUGGCGAAGGCGACUAUCUGGGCCAACACUGACACUGAGGCACGAAAGCGUGGGGAGCAAACAGGAUUAGAUACCCGCGUAGUCCCUGUCUCUUAUACAC